GACGAACGCGGCGGCGUGCCUAAUACAUGCAAGUAGAACGCUGAAGGAGGAGCUUGCUUCUCUGGAUGAGUUGCGAACGGGUGAGUAACGCGUAGGUAACCUGCCUGGUAGCGGGGGAUAACUAUUGGAAACGAUAGCUAAUACCGCAUAAUAGCAGUUGUUGCAUGAUAACUGUUUGAAAGGUGCAAUUGCACCACUACCAGAUGGACCUGCGUUGUAUUAGCUAGUUGGUGGGGUAACGGCUCACCAAGGCGACGAUACAUAGCCGACCUGAGAGGGUGAUCGGCCACACUGGGACUGAGACACGGCCCAGACUCCUACGGGAGGCAGCAGUAGGGAAUCUUCGGCAAUGGACGGAAGUCUGACCGAGCAACGCCGCGUGAGUGAAGAAGGUUUUCGGAUCGUAAAGCUCUGUUGUAAGAGAAGAACGAGUGUGAGAAGUGGAAA
Molecule: ribosomal RNA, 447 nt
Filed under: Streptococcus mitis
Lineage: Bacteria; Bacillati; Bacillota; Bacilli; Lactobacillales; Streptococcaceae
Description: bacterial SSU rRNA
Rfam family: Bacterial small subunit ribosomal RNA
Source: RNAcentral